This 208-nucleotide ribosomal RNA is filed under the name uncultured bacterium. Its description in RNAcentral is "partial 16S ribosomal RNA". It matches the Rfam family "Bacterial small subunit ribosomal RNA", at positions 1294 to 1500 of the family's 1533-position model. The record is from RNAcentral.
CGGAUUGUAGGCUGAAACUCGCCUACAUGAAGCUGGAGUUACUAGUAAUCGCAGAUCAGAAUGCUGCGGUGAAUGCGUUCCCGGGUCUUGUACACACCGCCCGUCACACCACGGAAGUUGGGGCGCCCGAAGCCACUUAGCUAACCCUUUUGGGAAGCGAGUGUCGAAGGUGAAAUCAAUAACUGGGGUGAAGUCGUAACAAGGUACC